This 187-nucleotide small nuclear RNA is filed under the name Salvator merianae (Argentine black and white tegu). RNAcentral describes it as "7SK RNA (ENSSMRG00000003532.1)". It matches the Rfam family "7SK RNA". From Rfam's summary of the family: 7SK was discovered as an abundant small nuclear RNA in the mid-70s but a possible function has only recently been suggested. Two independent studies have found that 7SK RNA binds the CDK9/cyclin T complex (known as elongation factor P-TEFb). The record is from RNAcentral. Lineage: Eukaryota; Metazoa; Chordata; Lepidosauria; Squamata; Teiidae.
GUAUGUGAAGGUCAUUUGGUUGCACUUCUGUCACUCCUUUGAUCACCAGUGUUUAUCUGGCUGGCUAAGCAGGUGUCCUCUUUCUCCAUCAUGGCUCCAUGUGUAUCACAUCCUGAAGUUCCAUGCUCAAUGAAAAAGAAGAAUCAACACAGGUAGGAGUGUUUUGUUCUUCAUUGGUAGUCUUUUG